AGCUGGAUCCUUCAUGGUUGGAGUAAAGGAGCAGGGGGGCUGGCAAUGGGGGAAGGAACAGCGAGGCCGGGCCGGCGGCGCGGACAUGUUGCCUCUUCUUUCGUGGACCAUGGAUACUUGGUGAUGCUGGAUGCUUCUACUCUGCAAUGCUCAUAUCCGAUGCAAUAUAUUUUUGCUUUAUUGAAGGGGACUAACUUGUGCUGGGAGAGAUUCCUGAAGGUGAUGUCAGAUCAUUGCUAAAUAACAAGGAAUCCUUGGCACUUGUGAUCCAGUAGUAUUUGUCUACGACAGCCAUCUUCAGCUGCAGUGCUAUUCCUGUUUUCUGAAGUCAUGGGAUGCAAGGCUAUGCAAUCUCUUAACUGUAUAUUGCACCCAGUUAGCAAAAUGAUCUCCAUUCGGAACAAACAAUUGGAGGGGGGGACCUGGUUUCAACUGUUGAUGAGGCACUGUCCGAGGAGAGACAGUAGAUAAAUGCAAAUGUCCCCCAGCGCCAGAGGAGAUCCUUUCUAUGGAGAAACACCACAUACGUACAUAAUUUUCUGCCUGGAUUCUGGAAACGACCAAGGAUAAGCAACUCAAGCGAAAGAUUGCUUUGGUCGAUCCUGCUGUGUUAUUCUUCUCAAACAUGCUAAAGAAAGGGAUGAUACAAUCAAUCCAACUGUUACCCUCGGUGUGAUUUUUUGAAGGACUAAUCUGAAGAUGCUGGCUAGCUUGCACCGCCAUCAUACAGUCUAGAAGCAAAGGCAAGGAUUACAGGGAAAAUAAAGGUGCAAUGCGCCCAAUAUAUUUUACUUUUUGGCGAAGUUUUGGUGCUUGCGCAAGAAAGUAACACCAUUAUUAUACCUACUGAUCCUUCUUCCCAGGCAAUUCGCCAUCCGAAGAAAUGCCAACUAACUCAUUUUUAUACUUCCUCUGUUACAGAGGUAAAAAUACUACUGCUUUUCGAAAGCUUUUUGUUGUUGCAUGUUCCCCUUUCUUAAUCUUGUAUUUAUUCAAUCUCACCAUUCUAUCGUUUUCCUGAAAAAUUAUACUCACAUAGUAAUAUUUUCCUUAUUGGUGAUCUUCUGUUUGGCCUUCAUUUGGUGUGCAUAUGGCAUGGGAUAUUAUAGGCUUAUUUUUAUUAUUUGUUCAUGCACUAAUGCAUACUCCCUCCUUUCCCAAAUAUAAGCCUUUUUCUAGAGAUUCCAACAAGUGACUACAUACAGAGCAAAAUGAGUGAAUCUACACUCUAAAAUAUGUCUACAUACACCCAUGUGUUGUAGUCCAUUUGAAAUGUCUAAAUGACUUAUAUUUAGGAACGCAGGGAGUAAAUCUUUUGGUUAUGCUCUUAUUAUUUAGUCUAGAGCUAUGCAAUGACAACCGUGGCUUUAGUCUUCAGGUGAGUGCCAUAGACUGAAGAACCCUUGGCAUCUUAUCUAAAUUCUUUAAUCCUAUAUUAUGCGUGCCCAGUUAAAGUUAAAGUACCUUAUACCAGUACCUUAAUUAGCCUCUUCUGACAAUUGAUUGUUUGAACUGUUAUAGUAGGACUCGGACUUUCAAAGUUAUUAGGCAUGUGAACAUGUUUUUAUUUUAGUUUAUACAGUUUUGUGUUCUUUUGGCUUCAGGUUGCUCCUGCAGAGAAUGUUUGAUAGCAUAGGAAAAACAAAGGAAUUCUACAAAGAGGUUUGAGUGGAUGGAAAUUUUCCUCCAAAAUGUAGUACAAAUGGAUCAUAUGGAAAAAUUCCUAAGGAUGCCAAUCCUACGAAUCAAACGAGCAUCACAGGAAAAAUUCCUAAGGGUUUAAAUCCUCCAAAAAUCCUAUGCAAUUCCUUUGAAUCAAAGGAGCCCUUAGUUAGAAGAUACUCUUUUAAAGGCGGUCACUCAACUAAGUAUCUUAUACAAUAUACCCAGCUGGAUGAUUGGAGCAGUCUCAGCUGCUAAUUAGUGCUCCUGUAUUGAAUCACUCAGCUCAGUAUCAACACUGCCCUCGAGACUUGGCUAUUAGCAUAGUAGCAACGAGCUCACACACAAAAUCUGCAGAUUCAUCAAACACUGAAGGAGGUUAGUUCUUACCUGAGUGGCAACGGCGGCCGCCGUGCUGGAGCAUCCCUUGCCGUGAAAAGUUACCAGCUUCAGGGAGUGCCGGCACAGCCGAAACUGACGCCACCUACGGCAGGGAGCGACGGUGGCAACUGAGGAUUUGGCUCACCGGUAUGAGCAACAGUGGCACCAUUUGCCGGUUCCGCAGCUCCAAGCUACAGAGGUAGCUGCCGGGCCACCAAGAUGCAGAUGGAGCCGCAACGCCUCUGAGCUGCAGCAGGAGCCGCUCUGCCGCCAAGCUGCAGCGUCAGCCGCCACCAAGAUGGAGCCCAAAGUGUCGGCGACGGCCUCCACCAGAUGCUUUAUCACUUCAGUACGAGUAGAAUGGGGGAAGGAACGGGACGAAGAUGGUGAACUGGUGGAUGGAACAAGACAAACAGUCAACCACGUGCUGACCUCCGAUGUUACAUGUGUGACGCGUGUGUAUAGGUAUCCAGAGUGUGUGGUUCUCUUGUCCCAAUG
Triticum aestivum (bread wheat) is the source of this 2541-nucleotide long non-coding RNA. RefSeq lists it as uncharacterized. Lineage: Eukaryota; Viridiplantae; Streptophyta; Magnoliopsida; Poales; Poaceae. The transcript is spliced from 5 exons. The record is from RefSeq and is a predicted model, not a curated record.